ACGGCUUUAUGUUAAUUGGUAAACAACUCGUCUUCCAAACGAUUAUUGCCGAUUCGAAUUCGGCUGGCCGUA
RNAcentral lists this transfer RNA (72 nucleotides) under Neofusicoccum parvum UCRNP2. It matches the Rfam family "tRNA". Rfam says of the family: Transfer RNA (tRNA) molecules are approximately 80 nucleotides in length. Their secondary structure includes four short double-helical elements and three loops (D, anti-codon, and T loops). Lineage: Eukaryota; Fungi; Ascomycota; Dothideomycetes; Botryosphaeriales; Botryosphaeriaceae. The record is from Rfam by way of RNAcentral.